RNAcentral lists this unclassified non-coding RNA (840 nucleotides) under Hevea brasiliensis (rubber tree). The record is from RNAcentral. Lineage: Eukaryota; Viridiplantae; Streptophyta; Magnoliopsida; Malpighiales; Euphorbiaceae.
CAAAUAUCAUUAUUGUCAACACUUGGCUAGGAAAGAGGAAAUGAUAUGAGAAGUCUUCUCAAAUGGCACACUUGUUCAACUUACUCGCCACUAGCAUAUACUGUGUUCAAAGCCAGCAACAUGCACAAUGACAUUUCACACGUAAGGCAUGAAGAGGGUGGUUUACAUAGCCUCAAACAAAGCUAGAGAUUCUCUUUUUGAUAUAUUCUCAGCUCAUAUAUAAGCUUUUACGGACGCAAUAUCUUCGCUGUCUGAAUGUCUUGGCAACGUGUGGUGGGAGAUUAUGCUAGACUACAUAACAAGCUGGUAAAAGAGAGUGAUGGCUACUCCUAAUUGGCACCCAUGGUAUAUAACUUGAGGAAGAUUAGAUUGUCGCCUUCUCUCUCAUUCUACGGAUCUUGACUGGGGACAUAUUGCAUACCUAAUUUUGUUGUUUUCGCCAUUAUAUUGGCAGUGUCUGCGAAGCAUCAUAUUGAUGCACAAUGAUCCUACUAUCCAGACAUGCUGCAGAAUAUGCUAGUAUAUGCGGCAUCUUUUUGGGCACCCACUGCAGUUGAAAGCUCAAUCUUGGUUAAAGAUUUACAUCACCUGAUUGUGGAAUCAGGCGUUGUUUACAGUAUUUUCCUCGUUCUGAGAUACCAGUACAUGAGAUAAAAGGCCAGAACAGCCCCAACAAUUAUUCCUGCUGUUGUAAGCCAGAAUGCAAACACAUGUUCCUCUAGAUAGGAUCUUAAGUUCAUGCCAAAUAUACCUGCUACCAGAGCACCAACAGCAACACAAAAUGUUCCAACCUGUAGAAUCAACUCAAAUCUGCUCACCUCAAGCCUUCGAGAACUCAAG